Molecule: long non-coding RNA, 174 nt
Organism: Hemiscyllium ocellatum (epaulette shark)
Lineage: Eukaryota; Metazoa; Chordata; Chondrichthyes; Orectolobiformes; Hemiscylliidae
Exons: 3
Source: RefSeq, a predicted model, not a curated record
UGUUUAAGCAUGUCAGGCAGUAGGAGGAAGAGGAGACUUCGCUGUUCUAUUCAAGAAGCUGCAAGUACAAGUGUAUGCAGAACACCAGACUACAUGGAAGUAUUGACAACUCAAUACAAUGCAUUGAUGAACCUAAGUUUACCAGAUUCUGUAAAGAAUCAUGCAACAGUGAAC